This 931-nucleotide ribosomal RNA is filed under the name Ditylenchus environmental sample. Its description in RNAcentral is "partial 18S ribosomal RNA". It matches the Rfam family "Eukaryotic small subunit ribosomal RNA", at positions 708 to 1658 of the family's 1831-position model. Lineage: Eukaryota; Metazoa; Nematoda; Chromadorea; Rhabditida; Anguinidae. The record is from RNAcentral.
GGGCGGUGGGCACUUCCGCGGUGUCCGCUACUGCGGGCGACUUUUUUUUUAAAAAAUAUCAGAGUGCUCCACACGCGCGUCUCCCCAGAGUGCUCGCGCGUGGAAUAAUAAAAGAAGAUUUCGCCCCUUUUUUUUUGUUUUUGAGGAAUGAAAUGAUGGUUAAGAGAAACAAGGGGGGGCAUUCUUUCUGCUGCAGAAGAGAAAAAAUUCUUGGACCGGAGGACCACCAACAACAAAGAAAGCUUUUGCCAAGAAUGUCUUCAUUAAUCAAAAAAAAAAGUGGGAGGUUCGAAGGCUAUCAAAUACCGCCCUCCUUCUGACCGAAAACGAUGCCCACUAGCGAUCCGCCGGAGGAUUCCUAACGCCCUGGUGGGGAGCUUCCCGGAAACGAAAGUUUUCCGGUUCCGGGGGAAGUAUGGUUGCAAAGCUGAAACUUAAAGGAAUUGACGGAAGGGCACCACCAGGAGUGGAGCCUGCGGCUUAAUUUGACUCAACACGGGAAAACUCACCCGGCCCGGACACCGCGAGGAUUGACAGAUUGAUAGCUCUUUCAUGAUUCGGUGGAUGGUGGUGCAUGGCCGUUCUUAGUUCGUGGAGCGAUUUGUCUGGUUUAUUCCGAUAACGAGCGAGACUCUAGCCUACUAACUAGUCCGCACCUUCGCUUGUUGGGUGCUUCAAUGGACUUCUUAGAGGGAUUUUCGGCGUUUCAGCCGCACGAAACUGAGCAAUAACAGGUCUGUGAUGCCCUUAGAUGUCCGGGGCUGCACGCGCGCUACACUGGCGAAAUCAGCGUGCCUGUCCUCUCGCGAAAGCGACUGGUAAACCGGUGAAAAUUCGCCGUGAUUGGGAUCGGAAAUUGCAAUUAUUUUCCGUGAACGAGGAAUUCCAAGUAAGUGCGAGUCAUCAACUCGCGUUGAUUACGUCCCUGCCC